Molecule: ribosomal RNA, 403 nt
Filed under: Yersinia mollaretii ATCC 43969
Lineage: Bacteria; Pseudomonadati; Pseudomonadota; Gammaproteobacteria; Enterobacterales; Yersiniaceae
Description: bacterial SSU rRNA
Rfam family: Bacterial small subunit ribosomal RNA
Source: RNAcentral
UAAUGGUGGGAACUCAAGGGAGACUGCCGGUGACAAACCGGAGGAAGGUGGGGAUGACGUCAAGUCAUCAUGGCCCUUACGAGUAGGGCUACACACGUGCUACAAUGGCAGAUACAAAGUGAAGCGAACUCGCGAGAGCCAGCGGACCACAUAAAGUCUGUCGUAGUCCGGAUUGGAGUCUGCAACUCGACUCCAUGAAGUCGGAAUCGCUAGUAAUCGUAGAUCAGAAUGCUACGGUGAAUACGUUCCCGGGCCUUGUACACACCGCCCGUCACACCAUGGGAGUGGGUUGCAAAAGAAGUAGGUAGCUUAACCUUCGGGAGGGCGCUUACCACUUUGUGAUUCAUGACUGGGGUGAAGUCGUAACAAGGUAACCGUAGGGGAACCUGCGGUUGGAUCACCU